Molecule: long non-coding RNA, 5510 nt
Filed under: Capsicum annuum
Lineage: Eukaryota; Viridiplantae; Streptophyta; Magnoliopsida; Solanales; Solanaceae
Description: long non-coding RNA (CANN_LNC010740)
Source: RNAcentral
AAAUCUAUCAAUUGUUGCCUGAGCCUUACUACCUCAUCAUUAUUGUGUUCUGAACUUUCUUCCCUGUGAUCCUGAUCCGGGUCAAUGAGCGAAUUUUCAAUCUCCCUGCUAGCCAUAGCGAGCUUUGCUUUGGAUCUAGUGAAGUAUGGGUGACUAGCCAGAGUGCUGCAAACCUACCACUGUUAUCUGAAAGAACAUGCUCAUCAAAGACGGCAUCCGUUAGGAUUGAGGUACACAACAAGCAUGGGAAUCACAUUGGUAAAAGUGUCCUAAAUUCAUGUUCAUUUCUAACAGCUUUUGAGGGUAGCGAGGUCAUUUUAACAUCAUCCCGAUUUUUAUCUACACUUAUUUUUAUCUACACUUAUCAUUAUUUUAUUAUUAUUAUUAUUAUUAUUAUUAUUAUUAUUAUCGUAUUCAUCUCUGUUCUUUUUCCUUCUCUCAUUAUCUACCUUUAUUUUAUCAUUCUUUAUGGCUUUUGUUUUUCUUUAAAAGAGGAAAAAUAAUGAAAAACAACGAAACAAAAUGAUUAGAUCAAACCCAAAAGUAGGUUGCCUACGUAUCAUGUUGUACAUGAAUNNNNNNNNNNNNNNNNNNNNNNNNNNNNNNNNNNNNNNNNNNNNNNNNNNNNNNNNNNNNNNNNNNNNNNNNNNNNNNNNNNNNNNNNNNNNNNNNNNNNNNNNNNNNNNNNNNNNNNNNNNNNNNNNNNNNNNNNNNNNNNNNNNNNNNNNNNNNNNNNNNNNNNNNNNNNNNNNNNNNNNNNNNNNNNNNNNNNNNNNNNNNNNNNNNNNNNNNNNNNNNNNNNNNNNNNNNNNNNNNNNNNNNNNNNNNNNNNNNNNNNNNNNNCCUAAUACCAAAAACAACUUGACUUCGACUUAAAGCAGACACCACCCUACAAUGACAGACACAUAAAAGACUCAAACUGAAAUAAGAUAAGAAAUGCUCUUUCAGACUGGUGCUCUGCGUGAUGACCCUGGCUGAGAUGGACCUGCCUGUGAAGUUCUCUUUCUCCCAUUUAAACUUUGUAGCAUAUCCUGUAAAGACACCCUGAUAUUAGGGAAGAAGCUUCGGGCCCGUAUUUCUGCCUCAUGAGGAGUGCACUUGGAAAGAUUAUUCUGACACCUUUCCACCGUCUUGAAAAAAUCGGCUAACUGAACUUCAUCCUGAUGGUCGUCAACUAUGCAUUCUUUCUGUAUUCUCCCUCUAAGCUACGCUGGUAAGGGUUGACUGAUACCCCGAGGGAUAGAUUGAAGCCAGACUCCAUAUCCCUGAGUGUACCCCGGAUUAUCCAAACUUUCUUUGAGUGUGUCCACACCUAGCUUUGUUGCAUGCUUCCAAAACUGCUCGUACUUGCUCUCACCUAAGGCUUGGCCCUUAAAGUGCUCAACAUCCUUCAGAAGAUCCAUUGCUGGGGGCACGUCCUGAAGCCUACCCAACUAGCGCAUUACCCUAGAAGGACUGUAUGGUCUAGUGCAAUUGAGCCCUAACAUAACUAAAGGGAGUUGCGUCUGACAACCCAACAAGAUUAUCUUUGGUCGAAGCCACAGAUUAUUGCUGGUGGCACGUCCGGCAGCCUACCCAACUGGCGCAUUACCCUAGAAGGACUGUAUGGUCUAGUGCAAUUGAGCCCUAACAUAACUAAAGGGAGUUGCGUCUGACAACCCAACAAGAUUAUCUUUGGUCGAAGCCACAGAUAAGUCCACAAAAUGUUAUCCCCAGUUUUUGACUCAAGAAAUUCAAUCCAAGCGUCGACUCCCACGGGUAGCGAGAAUUUAUCCAAACGCAACCUGGAGUCUAUUGCUUUCACUCGAUUGGGAAUACAACGAUCUACUACGUCUGGUCUAACUAAAGAAGGCGCAUACAAAUUCUCCAUCAUCCAUAACUGCAAUAUCAGGUUACUGCCUUAAAAAAAUCUCAUCCCCCCCUCCACUUUAGUUAAAGCUUUAUAUAUUUCUGUUAAGAACAUGGGUAUGAGAGUGAACCUGCCCUUUUGAUUAAUGCCCUUGUCGUUUUGAUCCUUAUGAAAUAGAGCCAUCACCAUAGAUUGCCAACGGGUAUUAAUACAUCUUUCUUUUAGUGGAAACACUAAAAUGCCUAACAAAGCGAGGGUGAAGACUUUAUGACGCUUUCUCUCCCACUUCUCCUUAGUCAUAUGAAAUUCAUCCCAAAAGCAAUCAAAACCUUCCGAGGGCCCGAAUCUAGCGAACAAAAAAUCUAAGGAAACCGACGAAUCACUUAAACAACCCAAACGCAUACCCUUACUUUUUAAACCACAAGAUUGCAAAAAUCUCACGCCAGUAUGAUUUAGUGCUCGGAUCAUAUCCUUCUCGAUAUAGGGCAAAUGCAACAAACCGGAUAUUUCUGCCAAAGUAGGAGUCAUUUCACAUUCCCCAAACCUGAACACCAAACUACUUGGAUCCCAAAAGGUCAACAAAGCCUCUAUUAAAUCUGGACGAGGGGUAAUAUGCAGAAGUUCCGUAAGAUCACCUAAUAUUUUAAUCAGUUUCUGCUAAUCAACAUAGUUAAACAUUUCCCACCACUUGAUUAACUUUUUGGGCCCCUUGACAACCAUUAGAACUCUAGACUUGGUGGACAAAUCCAUCCCGUAAUAACACAUAAGACGUUAUCUCAAAAUUCGAUAGGAGUAAAAAAUUCCCAACCCUUGGGAUUUUUGACGCAAGCAUAUGUCGAUGGGACAGACCACAUUCAUGACUCCAAUUUGAUGAACAGAAGUACUGAGCGAGAUCAGUCUACUUGGCUAACGAAUCUAGAUUACGGGGCGAGAGACCUAGGCUAAUAAUAAGACAAAGGCCAACACAAAGAUUACCGGACGCACCGAGGGUUGCCUACGUAUCCCAACCCGAGGGAAGGGAAUCAGGUAUGCAUAGUUCAUCCAGAUUGGACACUUAACGAUUAACUAAUAAAUUGACCCUAACUUAAGAGACAACCAAGAACAAACGAAUGAAAAAUUUUUGGAUUUUCAGUUAGACAUUUCAACUAAGACUGACACCACCAAUUAUGAAAAAAAAUCUUUUUGGUAUUUUAUUUUUGACAAAUAAGUAGAAAAGGCAAACAAAACCCUCUUUUUCUUCAUUUCUUUUUUUGUUGAACUUACGGUACUUUGAGAAGAUAAAUGCAAAACGUAAAAAAAUCUUUUUGAGUUUUGGAUCGUGAAGAACAAAAGCCAUAAAGAACUCUAAAAUAAACUAAGACACUCCUUUUGAUUCAUUCUUUUCGACUCACUUUUUUUUUUCAAUCAGUCCGUCAAAUGACCACGUUACCCUUAAAGAUGCAUCAGUUAGGACGUAGGGAUGCUUUAGAGGUGAGUCUCCUACAAAGGGCCAUGUGGGUCCCGCUAAGUCUCAGUAUGAUGCACAUAAGCAUGAUCUAAAGGCUGACCUACGUUGUGGUUCACUAACAAGGCUGUUCGGGGGAGUGUUUGGUCGAUAGUGGCUGGUUUGUUUUCCCCCUCCUCCCCACCGACGGAUCCCCCCCUAAAACAAGGGUGACUCAACUAGAGGUCGUGUACAACACGUGUACUAUGGACUUAUUGCAGAAAGAAGGCCUGGGGGUAGAUGCAUGAUGACAGAUAUAAAAGCGGUAACACAUAGGAUAAAUACUAUAAACAAAGAGAACGAAAAACGCACAAAAGUGAAAACAAUAACACAAACAAAAUCACAAACAAUGCUUAUACACUCGUGAUGUCAAAAAAAGCCGAUACGACUCCAAAAGAUAGCUCGAAUUCUGAAAUGCCUCCGCAGCAGAGUCGUCGGAGCUGUCACACCCCUUUUCUCAUCUACAAAAAAUUAAUUUCAAGUUUUGAAAGGGUUUUUAUUAUCAAAGUGACGAAAAAUAAAAAUUUGUUUCGAAAAAUGAUUAUUUACAUUUUUAUUCAGAGUCUCCACUUGACAUAAUCCGGUGUGCCAAGUCACCUUUGAAAAAUCCUUUUCAAAACAGUUUGACUCUUUAAGACUGGUUUGCAAAAAGAGAUUCCGGCUAAGGAAUUCUGUUGACUGAGGGGAAGGUGUUUGGCACCCCUCGAUCCCGUGUUCGAUCACGGUCGCUUGGUGGAAUAUAUCGGCUAACUUUGAAACUAAGAAUGUAUAAACCAUAUAAAACACAUAAACAAGCAACAAAAACAUCAAACAACAAUUCCAAAACCAAAAUAAUAUUGUUCAGUUCAAUUAUACAGUCCAAAAAUAAAAAAACAUAUGGAAAGGUAAAACCUAUUCUAUUCUAAACUAGUCCUAAACUAAACUCUAACCCGCUGCCUCGUGUCUUCGUCACGAACGUCCUCCGGGUACAAAAUACUUCGGGGCAUUCCCCGGCGAAUAAACACAAAUACCUCGGGGCAUUCCCCGGGCAAAUGAAUACACUUUUAGUGCGAGAAAAUCAAACUAUUUAACAAAAUCUCAAAUAUUCAAAAAAAAAAAACGAGUCCUAAACUUUGCUUACCCAACCUAUAUUCGCCUAUUCAUUUCAACGCCAUUUAAUGAAUCAAAAUAAAUUAAUGAUUGCUUUUAUCAAUGUCAAUUCUAACCACCCACGUUGGCUUUCAUUUUUCAUCAAUUACACCAACUACUACUCAUAUUCAUUCCAUGUUGCAUCGAAAACACACUGUGAAGCACAAAGUCAUGACAUCUAACGUCAACAAAACUCACCCACUACGAUCACAUCACACAUAAUCACAAUAAUUAAACACAUUUGAGACAAUAACAAGAAUAUAGAGUUGAGGGAUGGACCUUAAACCGCUUUUUGACCAAUAUUAUUCGAUGAGAUAAAGAAAACCCGCCUCCGACAACCUCGACUUAAGCUCCAACGACAAAUCUGUCCAGCUCAGUAUUUAGGAAAUUGAAACCUGAAGUCCGAUUCAAAUAAACAAUUCGCAAAGCGACUGAAAGUAUUCAAUACACGCCUGGGAUCGAUCCUAUUAGACGAAACUGACCCGAACGGACCAACGAGUACCUGGACUAGAAUUUCAGAAGAAAGAAAAAUAAUAGAAAACUCACGAUAUCAAGAAACCCCAGUACUUUUCGGCUAUAUUUCUCCACAAAAAUCAAGGAAGAAUAAGACCCGCACCCCCAAUUCUCGCUGGAUUCAGUCUGAACUUUGUCGGAAUCGACCCAAAUAAGCUGGAAUCGACCCGAACAGGCUUUUUUCAAGCUGAUUUUCCGGUCAAAAUCAUCUCUUUCGAACUUCUGAUCUCGAUCUGUCUUCGCGAUUCUCUCUCUCGACUUCAGCUUGUAUCUCCUCUCCGAAACUCCAUCUCCCUUAAACUCUAUCGUGUGUGUGCGUAUGGUGAAGUUUUGGUGUGUGUCUAUGGCAUGAGUUUAGUGAAAGAAGAGAAAAAAAAAAUGGACCCUAUUGUUAUUGUGAGGAAGAAAUAAAAAAAAAUGGGGCUCUUAGUAAUGUAUCCCUUUUUUAUCUCCGUUCCCCCUAUGUGUAUGAAUGGAAUAUGUAUAUAUCUGUGAGUGUUGUGUGUGUAGGUGUAUGGGUGGAGUGACGUGAGUAGU